Molecule: long non-coding RNA, 590 nt
Filed under: Malus domestica (apple)
Lineage: Eukaryota; Viridiplantae; Streptophyta; Magnoliopsida; Rosales; Rosaceae
Description: long non-coding RNA (MDOM_LNC003757)
Source: RNAcentral
CCUUCAUAAGCUAAUUGGUAAUAUAAUUCGAAGAUUGCUAGCUACCAACUAAAUGGUGUUUCAAUUAAUUCGAAGAUUGCUAGCUACAACUAAAUGGUGAUUCAAUAUUUGGACAUAAUAUGGGUUUCCGAAACCAUUAUUAAGAUAGUCUUGAUAAUAUAUGUCUAAAACUAUGAAUCACAAGACAAGUAAGUUGUAGAGAUCCAUCCAUCAUGAAUCUUAGCAAGCUAGUGGGAGCUAUAAGCGUCUUAUGAGAGAAAAGAUCAAAUCGUUUGAUUUCUCAUAAAGAUGUAAAUGAAUCUUUUGUUUACUAGGUUUACAAAAGAUUAGUGGGAGUUAAUCAUGUUCCUAAAAUUUAAAUAUAUAUAUGAUAUAUUAAUUUUGGAAAUGAAAAGAAUACUUCUUCGUUAAAGUUAUGACUUUAAACAUUCUAUAACGAUAGAAUGUAUAUGGGAGUUAAUCAUGUUCCUAAAAUUUAAUAUAUAUGAUAUAUUAAUUUUGGAAAUGAAAAGAAUUUUUCUUCGUUAAAGUUAUGACUUUAAAACAUUAUAUGAAGAUAGAAUGUAUAUGGGAGAUAUAGUCUAUAUACA